GCUGUAAUAGCUCAGUAGGUAGAGCGCAACAUUGGUAGUGUUGAGGUCACCGGUUCGAUUCCGGUUUACAGCU
Molecule: transfer RNA, 73 nt
Filed under: Lacrimispora saccharolytica
Lineage: Bacteria; Bacillati; Bacillota; Clostridia; Lachnospirales; Lachnospiraceae
Also listed under: 1 other name
Description: tRNA-Thr
Rfam family: tRNA
About the family: Transfer RNA (tRNA) molecules are approximately 80 nucleotides in length. Their secondary structure includes four short double-helical elements and three loops (D, anti-codon, and T loops).
Source: RNAcentral